This 801-nucleotide ribosomal RNA is filed under the name uncultured bacterium. RNAcentral's name for it is "bacterial SSU rRNA". It matches the Rfam family "Bacterial small subunit ribosomal RNA", at positions 52 to 850 of the family's 1533-position model. The record is from RNAcentral.
CACAUGCAAGUCGAGGGGCAGCACGGUGUAGCAAUACACUGGUGGCGACCGGCGCACGGGUGCGUAACGCGUAUGCAACCUACCCAUAACAGGGGGAUAACACUGAGAAAUUGGUACUAAUACCCCAUAACAUCAGGACCGGCAUCGGUUCUGGUUGAAAACUCCGGUGGUUAUGAAUGGGCAUGCGUUGUAUUAGCUGGUUGGUGAGGUAACGGCUCACCAAGGCAACGAUACAUAGGGGGACUGAGAGGUUAACCCCCCACAUUGGUACUGAGACACGGACCAAACUCCUACGGGAGGCAGCAGUGAGGAAUAUUGGUCAAUGGACGCAAGUCUGAACCAGCCAUGCCGCGUGCAGGAAGACGGCUCUAUGAGUUGUAAACUGCUUUUGUACGAGAGUAAACGCUCUUACGUGUAAGAGCCUGAAAGUAUCGUACGAAUAAGGAUCGGCUAACUCCGUGCCAGCAGCCGCGGUAAUACGGAGGAUCCAAGCGUUAUCCGGAUUUAUUGGGUUUAAAGGGUGCGUAGGCGGUUUGAUAAGUUAGAGGUGAAAUACCGGUGCUUAACACCGGAACUGCCUCUAAUACUGUUGAACUAGAGAGUAGUUGCGGUAGGCGGAAUGUAUGGUGUAGCGGUGAAAUGCUUAGAGAUCAUACAGAACACCGAUUGCGAAGGCAGCUUACCAAACUAUAUCUGACGUUGAGGCACGAAAGCGUGGGGAGCAAACAGGAUUAGAUACCCUGGUAGUCCACGCAGUAAACGAUGAUAACUCGCUGUCGGCGAUACACAGUCGGCGGCUAA